This 65-nucleotide transfer RNA is filed under the name Hyphomicrobium sp. RNAcentral's name for it is "tRNA-Met". It matches the Rfam family "tRNA", at positions 1 to 62 of the family's 71-position model. From Rfam's summary of the family: Transfer RNA (tRNA) molecules are approximately 80 nucleotides in length. Lineage: Bacteria; Pseudomonadati; Pseudomonadota; Alphaproteobacteria; Hyphomicrobiales; Hyphomicrobiaceae. The record is from RNAcentral.
CGCGGGGUGGAGCAGCCCGGUAGCUCGUCAGGCUCAUAACCUGAAGGUCGUUGGUUCAAAUCCAG